AUUCCAGCUCCAAUAGCGUAUAUUAAAGUUGUUGCAGUUAAAAAGCUCGUAGUUGGAUUUGUGGUGUAUGCCGGCGGCCUGGUACUUAGUAUCGGAGCUUGCUUGCGUCGCCAUCCUUGGGUGGAUCCUGUGUGGCAUUAAGUUGUCGUGCAGGGGAUGCCCAUCGUUUACUGUGAAAAAAUUAGAGUGUUCAAAGCAGGCUUAUGCCGUUGAAUAUAUUAGCAUGGAAUAAUAAGAUAGGACCUUGGUACUAUUUUGUUGGUUUGCGCACCAAGGUAAUGAUUAAUAGGGACAGUUGGGGGUAUUCGUAUUCCAUUGUCAGAGGUGAAAUUCUUGGAUUUUUGGAAGACGAACUACUGCGAAAGCAUUUACCAAGGAUGUUUUCAUCA
Molecule: ribosomal RNA, 389 nt
Filed under: Bacillariophyta sp.
Lineage: Eukaryota; Bacillariophyta
Description: partial small subunit ribosomal RNA
Rfam family: Eukaryotic small subunit ribosomal RNA
Source: RNAcentral